Pimephales promelas (fathead minnow) is the source of this 838-nucleotide non-coding RNA. The record is from RefSeq and is a predicted model, not a curated record. NCBI's taxonomy places the organism in Eukaryota, Metazoa, Chordata, Actinopteri, Cypriniformes, Leuciscidae.
GCCUUUUUUCCACAGAAAAUCUGGGUGAGCAGGUUUAGGUUCCACAGAAAGCUUCCUCCUGCACAAUCCUUUACGAAACGCAAAUAUUGAAAGAGUUUCAAAACGUCUGCUCAAGACACAAGAUCCGUGCAGGAACAAGAAACAUCUACAUCAUCAUCAUUAUUCAUGUGAAUUGGUGAAGGACCAUAAUGUCUGUUGAAGAGCUACUUCUAAACACACUAAAGAAUCUGGAAACAGAGGAACUAAAAGAGUUUCAAUGGUUCUUGAAAAGUCUAAAACAACUACCAGCAUCUGAUUUGGAAAAUGCAGGUAGGGUUAAAACAGUGGAUAAGAUGGUGGCCCAUUUUGGACAAGAAGAAGCAGUGAAGAUCACGGCGGAGAUCCUGAGAAAGAUAAACCAGAAUAAUCUAGCUGAUCAGGUGGAGAACGGUCACAAGAAAGGCUGAGGGCAGUACUGAGGAUCGGAGCCUGUUAGAGCUAUUUUUAAUGGGUAAAUAAUGAUCACUGUUUAUGAAGAAUUAUAUGGAUUCUAGUGGUUAUUCCAGGAUAUCAUAUUCCCUCCUUCUUAAGAUGUAAAUGUGUUUGUUUUUGUUUCAAACAACAUAAAUGUUUGUUUUUGUCAAAAAUGUUGUUUCACUCAUUUUAUGCCAUUUCUGUUUCUUUUCUUGUAUCCAAAAUAUUGACCAUUGUAUGAGAACUGAACUGCUUUCUCCAGAGCUGCUACAUCGAUCAAUUAACUAUCAAUAACUAAUCAUUUUCUACAACAAAAAUGAAGCAUACCAUUUUUAGCCUUUUCAAUGAAAAACCAUCAAAUAAAAUAAAAAAAAUCCCCCUAAAA